RNAcentral lists this ribosomal RNA (868 nucleotides) under Fusarium aconidiale. RNAcentral describes it as "partial large subunit ribosomal RNA". It matches the Rfam family "Eukaryotic large subunit ribosomal RNA", at positions 34 to 932 of the family's 3401-position model. The record is from RNAcentral. Lineage: Eukaryota; Fungi; Ascomycota; Sordariomycetes; Hypocreales; Nectriaceae.
UUAAGCAUAUCAAUAAGCGGAGGAAAAGAAACCAACAGGGAUUGCCCUAGUAACGGCGAGUGAAGCGGCAACAGCUCAAAUUUGAAAUCUGGCUCUCGGGCCCGAGUUGUAAUUUGUAGAGGAUACUUUUGAUGCGGUGCCUUCCGAGUUCCCUGGAACGGGACGCCAUAGAGGGUGAGAGCCCCGUCUGGUUGGAUGCCAAAUCUCUGUAAAGUUCCUUCGACGAGUCGAGUAGUUUGGGAAUGCUGCUCUAAAUGGGAGGUAUAUGUCUUCUAAAGCUAAAUAUUGGCCAGAGACCGAUAGCGCACAAGUAGAGUGAUCGAAAGAUGAAAAGCACUUUGAAAAGAGAGUUAAAAAGUACGUGAAAUUGUUGAAAGGGAAGCGUUUAUGACCAGACUUGGACUUGGUUAAUCAUCUGGGGUUCUCCCCAGUGCACUUCUCCAGUUCAGGCCAGCAUCAGUUUUCGCCGGGGGAUAAAGGCAGCGGGAAUGUGGCUCUCUUCGGGGAGUGUUAUAGCCCGUUGUGUAAUACCCUGGUGGGGACUGAGGUUCGCGCUUCUGCAAGGAUGCUGGCGUAAUGGUCAUCAACGACCCGUCUUGAAACACGGACCAAGGAGUCGUCUUCGUAUGCGAGUGUUCGGGUGUCAAACCCCUACGCGUAAUGAAAGUGAACGCAGGUGAGAGCUUCGGCGCAUCAUCGACCGAUCCUGAUGUUCUCGGAUGGAUUUGAGUAAGAGCAUACGGGGCCGGACCCGAAAGAAGGUGAACUAUGCCUGUAUAGGGUGAAGCCAGAGGAAACUCUGGUGGAGGCUCGCAGCGGUUCUGACGUGCAAAUCGAUCGUCAAAUAUGGGCAUGGGGGCGAAAGACU